RNAcentral lists this long non-coding RNA (253 nucleotides) under Lathyrus oleraceus (garden pea). Its description in RNAcentral is "Pisum sativum (pea) long non-coding RNA (PSAT_LNC001113)". The record is from RNAcentral. Lineage: Eukaryota; Viridiplantae; Streptophyta; Magnoliopsida; Fabales; Fabaceae.
GCAUUAGUCGAGUUGGGACUUUGAGGGUGCUAUUUUUCUUUUGUUUCUUUCUUUCUUUUUUCUUUCUUUUGAUUUUUGAUUUGAUUUCUUUUGAUUUUGCACCCUCCUCUUUCUUUUUUUUCUUUUUUUUUAAAUGCCCCAGUUGGUUGUUUUGCUGAUUCUCGAGAUGCAGCUGAGUGAUCUUCUUUUCUUGCUCAAGAAGUUGGGAAAUCUCGUCAGGAAUCCCUUCAACAUCAUCUUCUUCCGCUUCGAA